This 464-nucleotide ribosomal RNA is filed under the name uncultured bacterium. RNAcentral describes it as "partial 16S ribosomal RNA". It matches the Rfam family "Bacterial small subunit ribosomal RNA", at positions 338 to 795 of the family's 1533-position model. The record is from RNAcentral.
CCUACGGGAGACAGCAGUAGGGAAUUUUCGUCAAUGGGGGGAACCCUGAACGAGCAAUGCCGCGUGAGUGAAGAAGGCCUUCGGGUCGUAAAGCUCUGUUGUAAGAGAAAAACGGUCAUUAUAGGGAAUGAUAAUGAAGUGAUGGUAUCGUACCAGAAAGCCACGGCAAACUACGUGCCAACAGCCGCGGUAAUACGUAGGUGGCAAGCAUUAUCCGGAAUGAUUGGGCGAAAAGGGUGCGCAGGCGGUCCGGAAAGUCUGUAGGAAAAGUCAUUGGCUAAACCAAUGUAUGCUGUGGAAACUGAUGGACUAGAGUGCAGGAGAGGGCAGUGGAAUUCUAGGUGUAGGGGUAAAAUGCGUAGAUAUAUGGAGGAACACUGGUGGCGAAGGCGGCUGCCUGGCCUGUAACUGACGCUGAGGCACGAAAGCGUGGGGAGCAAAUAGGAUUAGAUACCCCUGUAGUC